RNAcentral lists this unclassified non-coding RNA (162 nucleotides) under soil metagenome. Its description in RNAcentral is "partial internal transcribed spacer 1". The record is from RNAcentral.
UAAGAGACGUUGCCCUUCGGGGUAUACCUCCCACCCUUUGUUUAUUAUACCUUUGUUGCUUUGGCGGGCCCGUCCUCGGACCACCGGCUUCUGCUGGUCAGUGCCCGCCAGAGGACCUAAAACUCUGUUUGUUAAUAUUGUCUGAGUACUAUAUAAUAGUUA